AUUAAAUAGCUGCCUUGUACCAUGAGACUCCUUGUUAAUUGUUAGUCAAAUCAGUUUCCAACAAUUGCAAACAUGCAAGUUCUAAAAGCAGUUUUACAGCAUAGUUGCUAUGAACAACAUAGUAAACAAAAUGAAAUAUUCCCAUGUAGGGAGCUUGACUUGCAACUUGAUUUUUGCUAAAAAUCCAAUACUUUGAAUUUAUUUUUUUAAAUUAUUAAAGAAAAGAAAACUAACAAGCCUAUUUUCUUAUUUGUGUGAAGAGUUCUGGAGGUUUUCCAGUUCCUCCUGCACUGCCACCAAAAGCUGAGAAACCACCGGUUCCUUGUUGGUUGCCGCCUGCAUUACCGCUGAAAGCCGAGAAACCACCAACUCCCUGCUGGUUAUUGAAACCCCCAAAUCCACCACCUGCUCCAGCAAAACUACCACUUCCAGGAGCAGCAGCAGCAGCAAAACCACUGCUGGCUGAAGCCAUGCCACCAAAUCCACCAGCACCAGAAGCAACACCAGCAAACCCCCCACCACCAGAGGCCAAACCUGCAAAGCCACCACCAGUAGAACCAACACCAGCAAAUCCACCACCAGUUGCAGCACUUGAAAAACCACCCAUGGAACUAGUACUAGCAAAGCCACUAGGUAAACCAGCACCAAAUUGUCUCGACUGCCCAAAAGAACCCAGAACUGAUCCCAGUGCUGCUUGACCUGCUCCAAUCUGUGCUGGCUGGCCAAACCCACCUGGUGCAGGACCUUGACCAACUGCUCCAGCACCAAAACCAACAGAGAAUGCACCCAGAUUUGUUGGCAGUGAUGGUUGGGAAGGCUCUGGCGAUUGAAAGCUAGAUGAAGCAGGCCGAAAGAGUUCUCCACUAGGCAGAGUCAUAUUGAAUGAAGAGCUUGCUUGAUUUGUUGCCACAUUUCCAAAUGAGCCACCAAAUGGAUUUGAUCUAGGAGCAGCCGAGCUAGGGGUUGAGCCAAGACCGAAAGCUCCAAAGUUGCCCAAACUAAUUUCAUUUGUGCGGCUAGUCUCAGGAGCCUCCUCCUCCAUUUCAUCCUCUUCCGUAAUUGCAACAUCCAAAUUUGCAUUCUUUCCACUAGCGGCGUCAUCAGAAGCUAGUGGUACCCCAAAAGGAACAUGUGCAUCAGCUGGCUGUUUAGGUUGCACAUUCAGCUCUACACCAGAUGCAGGACUUGCCACGCUCAAACUGGACUGAUUUCCAGACCCAAACCGACUUGAAAUUUCACUUGUAAGGAUGGAAGGCUUCAAAUUAAAUGCAGGAGGAUCAAGCUGCGUAUGAGGAACUGUUAUAGCAGUAUCAACAUCUGCUCUUGAGCUAAAUUUGUCUGCAGAAGGUUGCAGCUGUAUUUUAAUAGACUCUGAUGUAAAAUGAGAAGUUGGAUCAGAAGGUGGAGUUUUGCCUGCAGGGGGUUGAGGAACUGGUUUAGGAGAGACUGACGUUAAAGGUUGAGUGUGCAAAGGUGAUUGUGACUUGGGAGCCUGAACUGAGAAGGAACAAGAAGGGGAAACUGAAGAUGAAAAGGAUGUUAAAGGGACUGUUUGAUUAACAUCAAUGUUGUCUUUAGGAGUGAUCAAAGACGUGCCAAAUGGCUUUGCAGCCAACGAGGAUGGUCCAGUUGAAGAUGGAGUAGAUGCAGAAGAUGCAAUGUUUAAUGAUGAGCUAACCAUUGGAGAUGAAGAAACUGAAAGUGGCAUUGAGAAUGUUUGAAAAAAUGAUGUUUUUGCACCAGGUUGGCUUCCGCUAGCUGCAAUGUUGAACUGGGGAACUUUUCCAGGAUGGGAGGGACCUGCUGGAGCAGCAGUGUUGAGAAGAGGAAUCGACGAAUCAUAACUUUUUGUACUACUUGGUCCAUGAUUUACAGUUUCAAUAGUCGAAUUUGUAAGCACAGUCUCCCUCAUUUCACUUGACUUCAUCAUCAGUGGUGUCUGUGCAGGAAACUCAAUUGAGACUGAUGAUUUUUUAUGUGGGUUAGCUUCAGAUUGCUGAAUAGACUUGGUGUCAUCGAUCAACACAGAAUCAGACUUCCCAAUAGAGGAAACCAUACCACUUAAUUUAUCUGCAGUAAUAUUGCUAGUUUCCCUGGCAAGGAUUUGCGCUGUUACAGGCAAUGCUUGGGAUGGUGAAAUUGCUGGCAACACAGCAUUGCUACUGUGUGAUAUAGAAGGCCUCAACCCUGUAGCUUUAGAUGUGGGUUGAGAUGGUGGAGGAGAGUCAUUAGCCCAUUUAGAUGGAGUUGAUUUGUUAUCGAAGGCCUGUUUUGGAAGCAUAUACUGAAUACCUUUGUUUCCAGAUGGGUACAUGAAGGUGGAAGGAGAUGUGAGGUCCUUAGGGUGACUGACUGCUGAGCUAUCCACCAAAGAUGGGCCGAGUUGUUGCCUAUCCAUCAAGGAUGAUUUAUUCACACUUGUCUUUUGACUUUCUUGCAAAAGUACCCUCUUUACAGUUGUUUUUGCAGGUUCAAAACUCACCCAGCUCUGAUCCAGCGAGUCUCUCCUUCUCCUCACAGUUUCUGAAUCAGAACUAUUCAUAGCGCUUGAUUGGAGCCUUCUUGACUGAGAUUUAUUAGCAGCAGAACCAGAAGAAAUUAAAAGUGUCUUCAAUGAAGAGGAAUUGCCAACUUUUGUUGCAUCUGGAGAGCUGAAAGCGGGGUCAUAGGGGAUUCCAAUUGUUUCAAAGAGUUCCUUCUUCACAUUCUUUUGUUUUACAGGUGAUUCUAUGCUCAGUACAGCCAUUUGUUUUGAGAGGCGUUCUGAAAGUUGUUCAGCAGCUGCUAAUUGUGAAUAUGUUGUGUUAUGUAAAGUAUGCAAGGAUUGAACUUCUCUUGAAGGCCCAUAUCUAUUUUGAAAAGCUCUCCGACCUGUCACAUGAACUCCAGAAUCACCAAACUUAUGGAGUUCAAGGGUAUUGAAGUGCCUCUCCAAUUCAAUUAACCGAUUGGUCAAAACCUGAUUUAGUUUUAAUAUAUGGCGCCUCUUCAGCUCAAGUUCAGAACUCAACUUUUGGCGAUUCCAGAGUUCCCAAUAUUGGUUAUCAGAGGCUUGCUUAACAAUACCAUCAAUGUAUAUUUUCCUUGCCAGAACUUGCACAGUUUUAUCCAGAAGAUGUCUGAUCUCUCCAAGCUGCUCAUUCAUCAUGCUCGUCCACAUUCUGCAUUUUUCAGAAAGAGUUUGCAUGUGCUCCUCCAAAGCUUCAAUUGAACCCCUUUGGGAAACAGUGCAGGCAUCCCUGAAGCCACCUGGUUCUUCAAUAGAUUGCAAAAGUGAAUCCAAUUCUUUGGCCAUCUCUUUAAUAUUGCCAAAUUGUCUUGAUAAGUAUGACUUAGAAUUUGAUAGGGAUGGAGCUCUAUGAGCAUCCUUUGAAGAAAAAGGACUACGGUUGGCAAACCCUCCCAAAGCAAAGGUUUCUUGAGAUGGUAACUGUGAAUUACGAAUAGAAGGCAAUGGCUCAAUUGUCCCUGUCAUCACUGAAGCCUUCUGUCCCACAAUCUGGGUGGGUCUAAUGGAUAAAUUUGUUGAAGGAGAUUCAUAGAUAAUAUCCUUAAAGUGAAAACGUUUUCCAGUAAGGUCCACGGGAAUAUUUCCAGCAUCAACACUAAUGCCAGUUUUAUCAGAUUUAUUUCCUUGAAUUAGAGAAGGUAAAAAUGGACCUCUGCUUUCAUAACACCCUGAAAACAUAACCUUUUCACUUGACAAUGACUGAGAUGGGGCACCAGUGGAAAUAAUUGCAACUGGUGAAUCCACAGGCAGGUCAACACUUUUUUGGCUGGGGACAUCUGAAGGAACUUUCUUUGAGAAAGAAGCAGGACCAGAUCUAAAUUCAGUAAUUUUUUGAGUUUCUGCUUUGCUAGGAUGCUUGUCAAAAUAGCUAGGCCCCUCUAGGGGUGAAUUCCUCAAAGAUGACUGCCCAACUUCAGCACUUUGCUGACCAAAAACCUGUGCUUGUUGACCACCUACAGCUUGGUCCAGCUUUGUGACAGAAACAUUUUCUUGGCCAUCCGCUACAGAAGGCUUAAAGUUCACCAGAGAUUCGCCUUGGUGCCCUUUGGGAAUAGUAUCUUUAUAGGCUGUUUGUUCUGUAACAGGCAAAGUCACUGAACUCUCACCCUUACCAGAAGGCAUAAGGUCAGUCUUUGUAGGAAUUUCACUAACUGUACCAACAUUUGACUCCCAUUUGCUCCCAUCCUGCAGUUGAAGACCUAUUUCUACCUGUUCCAAUGUUUGUUUUCCUAGUCCAGAAGGAAGUUUAGCCUGCCCACAUCCUGCAGGUACAUCUGACAAAGAAUCCUCUUCUUCAUCAUUAAGGUCAAAAUCAUCCUCAGGUGGAAUGGUAAGUCCUUUGGCACUUGCAACAUAGAACAUAACAAGCUUUCCCUCAAGAGUAACACAGAAAAGAACACAAUAUGGUGAAAGUUCUUUCUGUUCAAGCCCAACAUCAGCUUUGACUUUUCCAAAAAGGGAAACCUUAUCAACACAAAGCCCCAUGAUCAAGUUAUCAUCACCAUCACCUUGAAGUUCAAUCCUUGGGACCCAAGUAUCUCGAUCAAUAUCAAUAACUGAAGUUUCACCAUCCUCUACUGACCAACGAAGUAAUUGAAUGUGCUGAUCAGUAUUCUUUCUGUUUGCUGUAAUUGCAACAGCCCAUUGUUCUAAAUAGCUCAAGAACAAGUAAGGUCCAUUUCCAUAGGGCACAAUGUCAUCAACGAGACCAGAAAAUAAAUCAUAGAAUGAUAACACAGAUGGCUUGGAAGAAGCAUCAGUAAUCUUGCCAUCUUUGCUUCUGAUUAUUUGGAUAAGGUAAUUUUUCUCCUUCCCAUCUGCAGUUUGCUGAAAGCAUCCUACAACAAUGCUAUCAGGACGUACCCACCUGAUAGAAUCCACUUUAACACUACAACUAUCUUCAGAAUCACCAAUCCACGACUUGAACGGUAAGGAAAUGUGCAACCUUUCCCUGAAUUUAGAUGACAAAAUGUGGAGAAUAUUCUCUCUUGCCACAACAAUAUAGUUUCCCUUUAAACUCCAGUCAACAGCAUCGACGUUCUCCAUUACAUCUUUAGGAGGAGCACCAAGAGCACCAUGAUAUAGCUUUCCAUGAUGUGAAAGAACGAGAAAAGACAUUUCUAAUCUCCUUCUCCAUAUCAUAUCCUUGACAAAAGCACUUGAUUCACUCAGUGAACAAGAGAAAGAUGGGUUCAAGUCCUUUUUAAGAAGAGAAUCAACAGAAAAUAAAUGAACAUCACCGGCAGCACAAACCGCAAGCGUAGAAGAAUCAGUAGAGAGAGAAAGAAUGUUCACUUUCUCAAAAGGCACAUGCACAACACUCAGCUCUUCUAUAGAAGAAGAAGUACCCUUGGCCUUAAUCUCCUCGGCGGCAUCCAUAACAUCCUUGGUCCUAGCAACACAAAACCCUGAAGAAUGAGCAACGAAGAUGAGGCGGUGGUGCUCGGAGACGGCGAAAGGACGAGAGGGAGGAGAUUGCAAUUGGUAGGCAUCACCUUUGACGAUAGGAAUGGGUUUGCCGAUCUUGUCGAAGAAGUAAUCCUCCGAAUCCUCACGGCCACCUUCAAUGUCUUCUUCUAUUUCUAGUUUUUUUAUGCUUUUAUCGUCACCUUCGGCUCCCAUGCUUUGAUUUUUCAAAAAAAAAAAAUUGAAGCAAUUAGGAUUAGCAGUAGCAGUUCCAGAAGGGGUGCACUACCAGCUACACAAAUUGCAGCUAGGCUAGUGUGUGAGUGUGUGUCCUUGGGCGGGCAGAAUGGCAGAGCCCUAAAAGCGCCUCAAUGAUCGGUCUUCUUGGUCGGCACCUGCUAACGAAGUCGUUUUAAA
This 5833-nucleotide unclassified non-coding RNA is filed under the name Hevea brasiliensis (rubber tree). The record is from RNAcentral. Lineage: Eukaryota; Viridiplantae; Streptophyta; Magnoliopsida; Malpighiales; Euphorbiaceae.